This 253-nucleotide ribosomal RNA is filed under the name uncultured bacterium. RNAcentral's name for it is "partial 16S ribosomal RNA". It matches the Rfam family "Archaeal small subunit ribosomal RNA", at positions 474 to 727 of the family's 1478-position model. The record is from RNAcentral.
UACCAGCACCCCGAGUGGUCGGGACGAUUAUUGGGCCUAAAGCAUCCGUAGCCGGUUUUACAAGUCCUCCGUUAAAUCCAGCUGCUUAACAGAUGGGCUGCGGAGGAUACUAUAAGACUAGGAGGCAGGAGAGGCAAGCGGUACUCAGUGGGUAGGGGUAAAAUCCGCUGAUCCAUUGAAGACCACCAGUGGCGAAGGCGGCUUGCCAGAAUGCGCUCGACGGUGAGGGAUGAAAGCUGGGGGAGCAAACCGG